UACGUAGGGUGCGAGCGUUAAUCGGAAUUACUGGGCGUAAAGCGUGCGCAGGCGGUUCGUUGUGUCGGCGGUGAAAGCCCCGGGCUCAACCUGGGAAUGGCCGUUGAAACUGGCGAACUGGAGUGUGGCAGAGGGGGGUGGAAUUCCGGCGUGUAGCAGUGAAAUGCGUAGAUAUGCGGAGGAACACCGAUGGCGAAGGCAAUCCCCUGGGCCUGCAC
RNAcentral lists this ribosomal RNA (218 nucleotides) under uncultured bacterium. RNAcentral's name for it is "partial 16S ribosomal RNA". It matches the Rfam family "Bacterial small subunit ribosomal RNA", at positions 524 to 740 of the family's 1533-position model. The record is from RNAcentral.